AGUGAACGCUGGCGGUAGGCCUAACACAUGCAAGUCGAGCGACAGCACAGUAAGAUCUUGCUUUUACGGUUGGCGGGGGGCGGACGGGUGAGGAAUGGAUCGCCAUCUUCUUUUUCUGGGGUAAUAACGUGGGAAAACAGACGCUAAUACCGCAUACAUCCUACGGGUGAGAGCAGUAGUGCUUGAGAGCUUUCCCGAUUCAAUUAGCCGAUGUCGCGUUAGCUUGUUGGCAGGGUAAAGGCACACCAAGGCAACGCUCCGUAGCUGGUCUGAGCGGAUGAUCGGCCACACUGGAACUGAGACACGGUCCAGACUCCUACGGGAGGCAGCAGUGGGGAAUAUUGGACAAUGGGCGCAAGCCUGAUCCAGCCAUACCGCGUGGGUGAAGAAGGCCUUCGGGUUGUAAAGCCCUUUUGUUGGGAAAGAAAAGCAGCAGGUUAAUACCCCGCUGUUCUGACGGUACCCAAAGAAUAAGCACCGGCUAACUUCGUG
Molecule: ribosomal RNA, 492 nt
Filed under: uncultured bacterium
Lineage: Bacteria
Description: partial 16S ribosomal RNA
Rfam family: Bacterial small subunit ribosomal RNA
Source: RNAcentral